GGGGGAAGGGUCAGACAGAACCACUGGCACUUAGCUAGGAGUUUCAGGGCCUCUAGGAGGGACCCCCAAGAUAACAAACAUCCCUACACGUGCCCAGCCUGACCCUGCACUACCAAACUGGGAGAGGAAGAAGCCGCCUCCAUGGGUGCUGCCCAUCCGCCAGGUGCCCACCACUGACUGACCAACUGGAAUCAUCACAAGCCCCAGAGGACAACGCGAUCAUCACUCCUUACAGAAAGGAAGAAACCAGCUCAAGAGGGGCAGCCACUUGCCCAAGGCCCUGUAAGCCAGCACCAGGUGCCCAGUUUGGCCCAAAGGAGCUGGGCUGAGCCCAGGUGCUUUCUAUCCCCCUCCUCCUCCCAAGGCGUCGGGUUGCAGGUGUGGUGCGUAACGAAAGCAAUGACCCGGGUAUUCUCCGAGCAACUGCCACACACCCAGCAGUGGGGAGCACAGAGUUCCCAGAAACUGUGAGUCGCGCCGUAAUUGGCCAAACGGGAGUUCUGAGAAGAACUGGGCCGGGGCAGCCUGAAGGGGAUUGCAGAGGAGACGGGCUGGCUGUUUCCCGGAGCAGGCAGGGGCCGGGACCUGUGGGACCUCAGUCACCAGCCCCCAGUGCCACUGUUGUCCACCCUAGGCCCUCAGAGCAGAGGCAAAAAGGAGCUGGUGUCUGAGCCCUGGGGCAUUUUCAAAGACAGCCCCUGCUCCCCACCAGACCCACUGCCUGAACCAGGUGUCACCCAGACCUCCUCAGUCACCCCAUAGUCCUAAGGGGUCCCCCUGGCUCCAGGCUCCCCAGCUCAGACCCGGCCAAUCCUGCCAUCAGACAGGCUCUCCAAAGGCCCCGUUCCACCCAGACACCUCAAAAUCAAGCCCAGGGUCCUCAGCUGGGAGUUCAUGGCCAUCCACAGACUCCACCCUGCCUUGCCAAAUUUGUCUCCAGACAAACACACACCUGGUGUCAUACCUCAUGCCCAGGCCUCCCACAUCCACACUCACUGCCCCCCACCCAGGCCUCCCCACAUCCACACUCACUGUCCCCCACCCAGGCCUCCCCACAUCCACACUCACUACCCCC
This 1075-nucleotide long non-coding RNA is filed under the name Pan troglodytes (chimpanzee). RNAcentral describes it as "long non-coding RNA NONPTRT006580". Lineage: Eukaryota; Metazoa; Chordata; Mammalia; Primates; Hominidae. The record is from RNAcentral.